This 460-nucleotide ribosomal RNA is filed under the name uncultured bacterium. Its description in RNAcentral is "partial 16S ribosomal RNA". It matches the Rfam family "Bacterial small subunit ribosomal RNA", at positions 338 to 795 of the family's 1533-position model. The record is from RNAcentral.
CCUACGGGAGGCUGCAGUGAGGAAUAUUGGUCAAUGGACGAGAGUCUGAACCAGCCAAGUAGCGUGAAGGAUGACUGCCCUAUGGGUUGUAAACUUCUUUUAUAUGGGAAUAAAACGUUCCACGUGUGGGAUUUUGUAUGUACCAUAUGAAUAAGGAUCGGCUAACUCCGUGCCAGCAGCCGCGGUAAUACGGAGGAUCCGAGCGUUAUCCGGAUUUAUUGGGUUUAAAGGGAGCGUAGGUGGAUUGUUAAGUCAGUUGUGAAAGUUUGCGGAUCAACCGUAAAAUUGCAGUUGAAACUGGCAGUCUUGAGGACAGUAGAGGUGGGCGGAAUUCGUGGUGUAGCGGUGAAAUGCUUAGAUAUCACGAAGAACUCCGAUUGCGAAGGCAGUUCACUGGACUGCAACUGACACUGAGGCUCGAAAGUGUGGGUAUCAAACAGGAUUAGAUACCCUAGUAGUC